GAUGAACGCUGGCGGCGUGCCUAAUACAUGCAAGUCGAGCGAACAGACGAGGAGCUUGCUCCUCUGACGUUAGCGGCGGACGGGUGAGUAACACGUGGAUAACCUACCUAUAAGACUGGGAUAACUUCGGGAAACCGGAGCUAAUACCGGAUAAUAUAUUGAACCGCAUGGUUCAAUAGUGAAAGACGGCUUUGCUGUCACUUAUAGAUGGAUCCGCGCCGCAUUAGCUAGUUGUUAAGGUAACGGCUUACCAAGGCAACGAUGCGUAUCCGACCUGAGAGGGUGUGCGGCCACAUUGGGAUGAAGGCACGGUCCAGGCUCCUAAGGUUGGCAGGUGGGGGGAAUCUUCCGGUAUGGGCGUAAGCCAGACGGAGCAACGCCGCGUGAGUGAUGAAGGUCUUCGGAUCGUAAAACUCUGUUAUUGGGGAAGAACAAAUGUGUAAGUUACUAUACUCGUCUUGACGGUACCUACUCAGAAAGCCACGGCUAACUACGUG
RNAcentral lists this ribosomal RNA (497 nucleotides) under uncultured bacterium. RNAcentral's name for it is "partial 16S ribosomal RNA". It matches the Rfam family "Bacterial small subunit ribosomal RNA", at positions 28 to 507 of the family's 1533-position model. The record is from RNAcentral.